CAUCCCCGAGAGCGAGAGCGGCACCGCGCAGCUUUUCGUCAGCGCCUUCUGCCGCGAAGUUGUUGCAGCUUUCGUUUUCGCAGGCGCACACCCACGCCUGGGCUCCGGCCCGGGGCUUGGUCGGGCUGGGCUGUCCUGGGUUUGCUGGGCGGGCGCAGUACAGACUUCACCAGCGCCAGCCGCCCCCGCGUGCCACUACCUAGGCCGGUCUGGCCUCCCACCUGAGGUUCGGUAGAAAGCCAGCCCAGUCCCGGCACGGGGGGCACCGCACCCACCGUCGGCGACUUCCUCUGUAGAGGCGCUGGGGAAACCGCGGCCCUCGGGCUUCCUGCUGCGCCCGGGGCGGGGGCAGCUGCCCGAGCCCACCCGGGGGGAACUUAGUGCAGAAAAGCAGAGAGCCAGGCAGGCAGAGUGCCUUGUGGAGGGAAGAAUCAUGAGUUGUAGGAGGGCCACACUAGAGCUGUCAGUCGGGACUAGAACGAAGACUUCUGGAGUAACAUUCUCAAAGAAAACACAACAAAGAAGCAUGGGCUCCAGUGAGUGCUCCGGAGGGAAGCCAUCUAUUUCCUCACAAGGUGUGCAGCGAGGCCAGGUAAAUGAAGACCCUCCCAACCUCUGCAUUUAAAGAACAGGUAUCCACUCCUGUGAGCAGCUUUGCAGAGUCCAGGGAAAGGUAGUAAGUGUUCUACAGAGGAAGGCUCAGAAGGCAAACAGUGCUCUGGGCACAGAACGGCAUCCACAGCAUUGUUCUACCUAGGGCAUCUUCCACCUCAGGAGGCGCACUCUACAGGAGCCAGCUACCCUCCCGUUCCUGACUGCUCUUCCUGCCCAGGUGGACGAGAACACUGAGGAAGGGACAGAAGAAGCUGCCUCCACACAUUUCCUGUCCCACGCCAGGGCUCUGAGCCCUCCCCACACUCCUGAAGGCCUCAUCCAUCCAGUCAGUCACGACACUUAGCCUACUCCUUGAGCUGCCUUCGUGUCCUUUGCCUUUCUCUAGCUUCAACCCACCAGCAUCCCAAACAAGCAUGGGUCCAGCCCUCUUCCUCUCAACCUAGAGAAUAAACCAGUUUUCUACCCUUGCAAGAUGACUUUCCUGCUCAGCUAUGGGCUUACUGCUGGGGACAUGGAAGAAACGACCUGGGCUCCCAGAAGUUCACUUGCAGGCACGCACGCACACGCACGCACACACACACACACCCCUUCUUCAGACUCUGAGAAGGACAGAGGCUUCAAAUGCAUGCUUCCCACGACAGCAUCUCAACUUACUAUAUCCUCCCCGCAUCCCCACUGCGACUGCUCUUUGACAGACAACACAGUGGGCACAGGGUCAGGGAGUUAGAGCACUGGUAACCCUGGGACCUAGCACACAGACCUGGCCAGCCCAAUUCAGAUCAUUCCUUGAAGUUGUCUCCAAUUACUGCAGCAGACAUCAUAGCCAGGUGCCAAAAUGCUACUUGUAUCUCAUAUAAUCAUGACGUCACUUCAUACCUUUGCCACUUCCUGAAAGAUCAAGUCAGACCAAAGGAGGAUGAGAACAUGCGCUCAUCACCUUCAACCGGGCCAGGAAGAAGCUGUGUUACCAGUGUUGUGCACCACUGUCUGGAAGGCAGUAUCCAGGAGGCCUGCAGGCUCACCAGCAACACCUACUCUCCAGAGCAUGCCUACCCUGCCUCAGACUGGGCUCCUGGGGAAGGCCCGGUACCGACUGUCACAGCACCAGAGAAGCCUACCUACCAUACAUAAGAACUUGCAGAGUCAGGGUAUAGGGUAUGAGUUGCUAAGUCCUGAACAAGCAAAUUUUCAAGAAGGACGUCCCUGGGAGAGCAUCUAUUCCCAGCUGGGCUCUAGAGGUCUCGGCAUACACACCCAACCUUGUUAGGUAGGGUCUCACUAUAGUCCAGGCUGGCCCUGGACUCACGGCGACCUGUCUGCUUCAGCCCCUGACUGACUGCUGGGAUUAUAGACGUGAGCUGCUACCUAUCUUGCACUGGCCUCUUAAACCGUUUUUACACCAUGUGAUGUCCUGCACUCCAACCCCUGGCUCGUACCAACCAACUCUCUCCAGAGGCAUCGUCAACUCUAGCUGACCAGCAACAGCAAAGACCCAGCGCGACAUUUCUCACAGGGUGAGAAUCACCCUUGUUCCCUCACCAGAUGGAUGCUUCUGAGUACAUGCUGGAGCGUCAACCCCACUGACAGAGGUUGGCGGGCCUUGAGAAUGCUCUGGGCUUCAGAGCUUUGAGCUUCCUGGUACCUGUUAAUAGCCUAAGCAGUAGAAGCCUGUGGGUCCCAGUCGCUCAUAAAGCACAUGAAUGUUGAAAAGUGUGGACCUCUAUCACUACUCUGGAGACAGAGCCACUCAUCCACCUCAGGGCAUCCUGAACGCCUGGAGUUGGGGCUCUGGCGGCUCUCUGGCAGCCAUCUUGACCCAUCUCUACAGGUCUCCUGGGGAGUGCAGACUUAGCCUCUAGCACACCUGGCUGAUGGCCCAGGUAGACAUUCCUGGCUCAAGUGGGGGUGGGCCUGCGGUCUUGUGAAGCUGGGCUGUGCCUGAGGCACCCAGGGGACCAUGUGGCUCCAGUGGUCUCUCACAGCUCUUCCUCUCAGGGGCUGAGCCCUUGUAGACUUUCAAGUCUUUGUUGGUUCCUUCUUGCCAAGGCUCUUACUUCAGUUCCAAAGUGGAAACUCUGUCUCCCCCUGAGCUGGACUGGAACAAGAAUGCCCCGUAAGAGUCCUGACUUCCAACCUUGUGACCACUCACCUGCCUCACUAUUGUGGGCAGUGGCUCUGUGUAACACUGCAUCUGGCAACUUUCCUACUACACACGUGGCAGCCAGUUUUCUUCAAGGUCCAGACAAAGUGAAGUAGGCCUCCCUUCACCAGGUAGAGCCCCUAGGUUCCCCCA
RNAcentral lists this small RNA (2908 nucleotides) under Rattus norvegicus (Norway rat). Its description in RNAcentral is "uncharacterized LOC102556116". Lineage: Eukaryota; Metazoa; Chordata; Mammalia; Rodentia; Muridae. The record is from RNAcentral.